CGGGUGAGUAAUGCGUGACCAACCUGCCCCAUGCUCCAGAAUAGCUCUUGGAAACGGGUGGUAAUGCUGGAUGCUCCAACUUGACGCAUGUCUUGUUGGGAAAGUGUUUAGUGGCAUGGGAUGGGGUCGCGUCCUAUCAGCUUGUAGGCGGGGUAAUGGCCCACCUAGGCUUCGACGGGUAGCCGGCCUGAGAGGGCGGACGGCCACAUUGGGACUGAGAUACGGCCCAGACUCCUACGGGAGCAGCAGAU
This 251-nucleotide ribosomal RNA is filed under the name uncultured Gardnerella sp. RNAcentral's name for it is "partial 16S ribosomal RNA". It matches the Rfam family "Bacterial small subunit ribosomal RNA", at positions 103 to 354 of the family's 1533-position model. The record is from RNAcentral. Lineage: Bacteria; Bacillati; Actinomycetota; Actinomycetes; Bifidobacteriales; Bifidobacteriaceae.